CUUUAUAUUACUAUAAAGGGCUAGACUAUAUCUUAAUUUCUUUAUAGAAACCAUUGUCUUAUAGUCGUUGAACUGUGUCCUAAUAAAAGGACUUGGCUGCUGAUUGUUCAUAUUAAUUCAUAUUUUCACCAUUAAAAAGGUAAUGAAUUUUCAGAAGUUUCCAGCACUUUGGCAAUGUUGCCAAUAAUGAUAUUAUUGACUAACAAAUAAUGUUAUUUGGCCCUAUUUAACUUUAGGCCAUUGA
This 244-nucleotide non-coding RNA is filed under the name Klosneuvirus KNV1. The record is from RNAcentral. Lineage: Varidnaviria; Bamfordvirae; Nucleocytoviricota; Megaviricetes; Imitervirales; Mimiviridae.